GUCUUUGCUAGAGGAGCACCCUUCAGAGAUAGUUUUGGGGGUUUUUAUGUUACGUACCGGUAUAUUAUUGUACUCGCUGGAGCGAGGUUGUUCAGUAAUUUCUGUAUGUACAGUGAACCCUUUAUGUUUUAUAUAUAUACAUGUUCAGUUUCAGCAGCUCUAUAUUUCUAGUUGUAGCUAUCGCUUCGUAUAUACGAAAAUUUCUAUGUAUACAGCGGGUCUGUUGGCGUACCCGGAAAAACGUUGUAAUUCGGGACGUGACAAUGUAGGAGGGCAUAAUGCAAUGUUUUAAGACACAGAGGAACAGAGUAAAAAUAUAGUAUACCAUGGGGUGGUAUUUGAACUUUUUUUCUUUAUUUUAUGUG
RNAcentral lists this long non-coding RNA (365 nucleotides) under Ananas comosus (pineapple). RNAcentral's name for it is "long non-coding RNA (ACOM_LNC009417)". Lineage: Eukaryota; Viridiplantae; Streptophyta; Magnoliopsida; Poales; Bromeliaceae. The record is from RNAcentral.